CUCAGAACUUAAAGGAAUUGACGGGGCCGCACAAGCGGUGGAGUAUGUGGUUUAAUUCGAUGCAACGCGAAGAACCUUACCUGGUCUUGACAUCCCGGAGACCCUUAGGAAACUAGGGGGUGCUUCCAUCUGGAAGAAUCUGGAGACAGGUGCUGCAUGGCUGUCGUCAGCUCGUGUCGUGAGAUGUUGGGUUAAGUCCCGCAACGAGCGCAACCCUUGCCUUUAGUUGCCAGCAGUUCGGCUGGGCACUCUAAAGGGACUGCCGGUGUUAAACCGGAGGAAGGUGGGGAUGACGUCAAGUCCUCAUGGCCUUUAUGACCAGGGCUACACACGUACUACAAUGGCCGAUACAAAGGGCAGCGACACUGCGAGGUGAAGCCAAUCCCGUAAAAUCGGUCUCAGUCCGGAUUGGAGUCUGCAACUCGACUCCAUGAAGUUGGAAUCGCUAGUAAUCGUGGAUCAGCAUGCCACGGUGAAUACGUUCCCGGGCCUU
RNAcentral lists this ribosomal RNA (493 nucleotides) under uncultured Desulfobulbus sp. RNAcentral's name for it is "bacterial SSU rRNA". It matches the Rfam family "Bacterial small subunit ribosomal RNA", at positions 893 to 1382 of the family's 1533-position model. The record is from RNAcentral. Lineage: Bacteria; Pseudomonadati; Thermodesulfobacteriota; Desulfobulbia; Desulfobulbales; Desulfobulbaceae.